Molecule: ribosomal RNA, 844 nt
Filed under: uncultured bacterium
Lineage: Bacteria
Description: bacterial SSU rRNA
Rfam family: Bacterial small subunit ribosomal RNA
Source: RNAcentral
GUCNGGAUUUAUUGGGCGUAAAGCGAGCGCAGGCGGUUAGAUAAGUCUGAAGUUAAAGGCUGUGGCUUAACCAUAGUAUGCUUUGGAAACUGUUUAACUUGAGUGCAGAAGGGGAGAGUGGAAUUCCAUGUGUAGCGGUGAAAUGCGUAGAUAUAUGGAGGAACACCGGUGGCGAAAGCGGCUCUCUGGUCUGUAACUGACGCUGAGGCUCGAAAGCGCGGGGAGCAAACAGGAUUAGAUACCCUGGUAGUCCACGCCGUAAACGAUGAGUGCUAGGUGUUAGGCCCUUUCCGGGGCUUAGUGCCGCAGCUAACGCAUUAAGCACUCCGCCUGGGGAGUACGACCGCAAGGUUGAAACUCAAAGGAAUUGACGGGGGCCCGCACAAGCGGUGGAGCAUGUGGUUUAAUUCGAAGCAACGCGAAGAACCUUACCAGGUCUUGACAUCCCUCUGACCGCUCUAGAGAUAGAGUUUUCCUUCGGGACAGAGGUGACAGGUGGUGCAUGGUUGUCGUCAGCUCGUGUCGUGAGAUGUUGGGUUAAGUCCUGCGACGAGCGCAACCCCUAUUGUUAGUUGCCAUCAUUGAGUUGGGCACUCUAGCGAGACUGCCGGUAAUAAACCGGAGGAAGGUGGGGAUGACGUCAAAUCAUCAUGCCCCUUAUGACCUGGGCUACACACGUGCUACAAUGGCUGGUACAACGAGUCGCAAGCCGGUGACGGCAAGCUAAUCUCUGAAAGCCAGUCUCAGUUCGGAUUGUAGGCUGCAACUCGCCUACAUGAAGUCGGAAUCGCUAGUAAUCGCGGAUCAGCACGCCGCGGUGAAUACGUUCCCGGGCCUUGUACAC